RNAcentral lists this long non-coding RNA (939 nucleotides) under Anas platyrhynchos platyrhynchos (common mallard). RNAcentral describes it as "lncRNA (ENSAPLG00000020932.1)". The record is from RNAcentral. Lineage: Eukaryota; Metazoa; Chordata; Aves; Anseriformes; Anatidae.
GAAGCGGCAGACGGACAGAGAAACAACUGUAAGGACUAUAAAUCUCAAAAUUGGACAUUGGAAUUCAUUAUAAAGAUACAACAAACGGAAGAAUUGGCAACAACCAGCUCUCGCAAUUAAGAAACGUGCCAAUUCAGCAGAUUCCUGACCAAAGGUGAAAAGUACACUGUGAGGAAGACUCGGGGUCUUCCUCCCAAAGACCCCUGACCACGUCCCAAAGACCCCUGCCCACAAUUCUUGGGAGGCUCUACGCAGGCGUAAGGUGCCAAAAGGCUAAUUAGCAUGAGAAGCGAGGGAAGGCGGGGAUAGGUAAUGCAUAUGUAUAGGCGCUUGUAGAAUAUUGAUAGAUUGAUUGUAGAAAUUCAAGACUGCUUUCCGCUUUGGGUAUGCACGAUAGGUGGAGAGAUCCCCCGUGCAUCCAGCGCUGCAAUAAAGAAUAUACCACUUAAAGGAAUUUCAGCUUCGAUCUUUGAAUCAGUUUCAAAUGAACGGGGUUUUUUAUUUAACUAUUUACUUCCUAUAUGUGACUGCGUAGCCGUGGCCAGGCAUUGGGCAAAAGCAACAGCUUACGUAACGGGGGGGCUGUCCUUUGUGAUUUAUUUAAUCUCCGCACAUUAUUGCAACAAUCCACACCGGAGAAGACACUCAGAAGCGCCGUGGCUCGGCGAGGAAAGCCUCACGACGCUCACGACGCUCCCCCCGCCGCCCGACCCCCCUCCGCCGGGCCCUUCCCCACGGUAACGCGAGGGGGCCCCACCCUGGGGCCGUGCCCCCUUUAAGAGCCGAGAGCCAACCCCCUCCCCAUCGCCCCCAUUGGUCACAUACGUGCACAAAAUGGCGGACGCCCCGCCCCCGCCACUGCGCUUUGCGCCUUGCGCCCGCCCAGCCUGGAGCCGGGUCCCGCGCGCAGGGGAUGAUGGGAGUUGUAGUCUUCAGCCC